This 253-nucleotide ribosomal RNA is filed under the name uncultured bacterium. Its description in RNAcentral is "partial 16S ribosomal RNA". It matches the Rfam family "Bacterial small subunit ribosomal RNA", at positions 524 to 776 of the family's 1533-position model. The record is from RNAcentral.
UACGUAGGGUGCGAGCGUUGUCCGGAAUUAUUGGGCGUAAAGAGCUCGUAGGCGGCCUGUCGCGUCGAUUGUGAAAGCCCGGGGCUUAACCCCGGGUCUGCAGUCGAUACGGGCAGGCUAGAGUUCGGUAGGGGAGAUCGGAAUUCCUGGUGUAGCGGUGAAAUGCGCAGAUAUCAGGAGGAACACCGGUGGCGAAGGCGGAUCUCUGGGCCGAUACUGACGCUGAGGAGCGAAAGCGUGGGGAGCGAACAGG